RNA transcript from Zea mays, 3850 nucleotides. RefSeq lists it as uncharacterized. The transcript has 7 exons. Lineage: Eukaryota; Viridiplantae; Streptophyta; Magnoliopsida; Poales; Poaceae. The record is from RefSeq and is a predicted model, not a curated record.
AACGGCACGCACGGCGUGGAGGUCCCAGCGUCCGGCGAGCCGGCGGGUAACACAUUCGGGGUGGCUGUGCGUAUUCCGCACGAUUCGGAACAAGAACAACUCCGUAGGAUUUCUUUUCCUGCCUUGCCCUCGCAUACCCUGUUGCAUUUUGGUGUGAAGUUAUGUCUAAUCCAAGAACCAGUGAUCUGGAGUGCACUGUGUAGCCCAGGUCCUGGCGCGACAAACUACAGUAGGGGGCGAUGUAUGUGCUUCCUGAGCUCAGAUACAGAUGCAGUGGAGAAGAUGCAGAUGCAGUGGAAGACGAAGGACGAGGCAGCGCAGGUGCGUUUGGGAAGAGAGGGCAGUGGUUACCGGUGAGAAGGCAACGGGGAGAGUUGUCGUCGUCGCUGCGCUGUGUCGCCAAGCCGUCACUUCGCGCCGCCACGCCGUCACUUGGCGGCGGCGUCUCCUCGCCUCGUUCGUCGCCAGCGUCGCCCAGUGCCCGUUCCUCCGAGAUUGGAUCCGGAGGGCAGCACACCAGGAUUUCUACCAGGCCACUGUGUUCAGAAAAACUCCAAACCGGAUCCUUCUCAUUUUUUGAUUCAGGCCCAAACGAACAGUAUUCAGACAAGCGGCCCAAUUUCAAUCCGAGUUAUUUUUUUCCACCUGGAACCAGGCCCGGAAUGGACCAAACCAGUCUAACCGAACGGGCCCUUAGGAGCACCUGAAUAAAAAUCCUCUCGUGUUUUCCACUUCGAAUGCCCCUUUUUCCAUUGAGGUGGGAUAUAAAAGUAUAAAGACCAUUCCACCCUACAAUAUAACUACCACUCUCUCCAGUUCCACAAUCCGUGUCAAUUUGGACAAAGCUCAGAUCCCUACAACACCAAUUAUAGUUGGGGAAGGUGAACCUCCUCCCUCUUGGGAUUCGGUACCAACUCCAAAAGUUCUACAAUGAGUAUCUCAUUGCGGGAUCGUAUUAGAAAGAGGAGGGAAGAAGAAGAUGAUGACAUGAUGAUAUUUAUUUUCCCCGCCUUAUAUCUGAUGGGUUCUACUAGAGGUGAGGGACAAAAGAAAAAACGUCAUACCUCAAAUGAGACAGGCGAGGUUAAGGUUCGUCGACUCCUCGAGGGACAUGUCAAGAACUGUCAAGUUACAUUUCGGAUGGAACCACACAUCUUCAGAGAGCUUGCAACUUAUCUUAGAAGGAGAAGGAUCAUUGUUGAUACAAGGAUCACGGUCGAGGAGAAGUUGGGGUUCUUCUUAUACAUGCUAAGUCGCAACGCCUCAUAUCAGGAUCUCCAAGUGUAUUUUGGGCACAGUAAUGACACCUUCCAUCAUCACAUCAACCACUUCUUCAAUAAGGUCAUUCUUGUCCUAUCUCGUUGCUUCAUUCAGCCUCCUGAUCCUAAUCAAGUGCAUCAAAAAAUCCAAGAUAAUCCUAGAUUCUAUCCAUUCUUCAAGAAUUGUCUUGGUGCCAUUGAUGGAACUCACAUUCCUAUUUCCAUAUCUCCCGAGAAACAUUCUCCUUUUCGAAAUCGGAAAGGAACACUAAGCAUAAAUGUGAUGGUGGCAUGUGAUUUCGAUCUCAAUAUCACUUUUGUUUCUAGUGGAUGGGAGGGAUCCGCCACAGAUUCUAGAGUGCUAAGAUCAGCUAUGAGCAAGGGUUUCCAGGUACCUCCAGGAAAAUUCUAUCUAGUUGAUGGAGGGUACGCAAAUACUCCAUCUUUUCUUGCUCCAUACCGAGGAGCUCGGUACCACUUGAAGGAAUUUGGGGCUGGACAUCGAAGACCACAGAACCCGAAGGAGCUCUUCAACCAUCGCCACACACUUCUGAGGAACCAUGUGGAAAGGGCUUUGGGGGUGCUUAAAAAGCGCUUCCCCAUUCUCAAAGUUGCCAUGUUCCACACACUGGAAAACCAAGUAAAGAUACCUAUAGCUGAUGCCAUCUUCCACAAUCUAAUCCGAUCACUUCAUGGUGAUGAGGAUUGGUCAGAUCAUCAUCCGGAUAAUAUUGAUCCAUCAAACUUUGUUGCUCUACCAAGUGGUGAUCAAAUGAGUGACCCAGGCACUACACAAGGCAAUGCUUUAAGAGAUACCAUCGCAAGAAAUGUGGGCUCAAUACCAACAACAUCUAAAUUAGUAUUUUCGUGGUUGAAUAAGUUGUAAUAAUUUAAUUAGUAGUAUUGUAAAAUGUAAUAAGUUUUUUUCUUUAAAAAGUUAUGGUUGGAAAAGGCUCCCCAAGGUUCAACAUAGGUGGUUCCCCAAAGUUGCGUAGGUUCAUUCCUACAACAAGUGCUACUAAAAAGAAGACUUCUCCUAAAUGCAGUGGGGCAAAAAAGAGUGGAAGUUCUCCAAGAGUGAAACAAAGAGCGGAUUGGAAUCCAGGCCUUGAGAGGUCUCUUGUUGACAUUCUCCAUGAAUUUAAAGAAAGUGGAUAUAGAGGUGACAAUGGUUGGAACUCCGAAGGGUGGAAUAGAAUGGUCAAGGAGUUUCAUGUGAGGAACAAGUAUGUCUCCUUUACAAAGUCUCAAAUUUAGGAUAAAGAAGGUCAGCUGAAGAGAGACUACAAGAUGCUCAAAGCAGCAAAGCAACAGAGUGGGUCCACCUGGAAUGAGAAAAGGAAUAUGGUUGAAGGACCACCAGCUUUGUGGGAGAAUCUCAUGGUGACAUUUCCUAAAAUCAAGAAGUUUAACAACAACAAGGCAACCUUCCCGCUCUUUGAUGCUUUGGGAGAGCUUUAUGAUGGACACUUGGCUGAAGGGAUUUGGAAUUGCACUUCUCUUGAGGCACCGCAAGAGGAAGAACCGAAUGAGCAACUUCAGGAUGCAGAAGAUGGACCACAAGGCUUUGAUCUGAAUGUUGUUCAUGAUGUAGAUGAUGAAGUUGAUGAUGCACUCACUGAAAGGAAUGAAGAUAUGCUUCAAGGAAGGGCUAAUACUCUGUCACGAGAUGAAGAAAGUGGACAGCGAAGACCUGCUGCGUCAAGAAACAAGCAAGAAAAGGAACCAAAGAAGCCUAGAAAGACUGAUAACAUAGAAAAUAUGAUGAACAAAUACCUAGAAAUGAGGAGCAAGCAAGUAGAAGAUGAAGCUGCAAGAGAAAAGGAAGCAAGAGAAAAGGAGACAAGAGAAAAGGAGGCAACUCAAAGUGAAGAUUUCUCCAUCAAAAGGUGCAUAUCAGUUCUAAACAUAAUGGAAGAAGUGACCAAACUGGAGAAGGCAAAAGCAUAUUCAGUCUUCACCAAGAGCAAAGAGAAUAGAGAGACUUUCAUAUGUGCAUGUGAAGCAGAUCAAGAAUCAGCUUUGUUUUGGCUAAGAAAUGAGAUGGCUUAGUAGGUUUGGGUGAUCAAUUGGUGAUGCUUAGCACAUCUGGAGGUUUCUUAUUUUGAACUGACAUGCUUAGUUCUAAAGUGAUGUUUCUUCUUAGCACAUAUGUUCUAUCUCUUAGCUGUUGAAGAUGUCAGUCUAUCAAGAUUGUUCUUUGCGUUUGUUGGCAAGACUAUAAUUUGUUUGUUGCUAAAGUGUAUUGUCGAGUAUUGGGAAGUCAAACUUUGAUAUCUAGCAGCUUUGAAUUGCUGUUCUUAGCAGCUUUGUUAUGUCUUAGCAACUUUGUUAUGUGUAUUGUCAAGUAUUGGGAAGACAACUUCGUAUGUGUGACCAUUGUUAUUACUGCAUUUGCUUAUGUAGUUGAUUCUUAUGUUACUGUUUCUUUUGGCAAGUAUGCGUGAACGAUUGGAGGUCUUUUUAUUAUUACUGUAUGUAUCUUUGUAUGUAUGUACACCAUUGUUUCUUAGUUGUUAAUAUGUGUAUGUAUGUGCAAGUGCAUUGGAAACAAAGCUGAGCAGUUAUCCUGACCAAAACUGGACAGCAGC